GGGUACGAGACCGCUCGGGGCCGGGGUCCCGGCGCCCCCUCCCCGCGCGCAGCCGCAGGGUCCUCAGCAGCGCGCUCGGGCCCGGCAGUGACGUCACUGUCCCCGUCCCGCGCCCCUCUCCCCCAGGCCACCCGUACAUCAUGACCGUGGGCUGCGUGGCGGGCGACGAGGAGUCCUACGAAGUGUUCAAGGAUCUCUUCGACCCCAUCAUCGAGGACCGGCACGGCGGCUACAAGCCCAGCGAUGAGCACAAGACCGACCUCAACCCCGACAACCUGCAGGUGCGGGGCGGCGGGCGGGCCGGGCGGGCGGGGCCGGGGUCUCCGGGCGCUCACUCCCGUCUCGCCCCCCAGGGCGGCGACGACCUGGACCCCAACUACGUGCUGAGCUCGCGGGUGCGCACGGGCCGCAGCAUCCGUGGCUUCUGCCUCCCCCCGCACUGCAGCCGCGGGGAGCGCCGCGCCAUCGAGAAGCUCGCGGUGGAAGCCCUGUCCAGCCUGGACGGCGACCUGGCGGGCCGGUACUACGCGCUCAAGAGCAUGACGGAGGCGGAGCAGCAGCAGCUCAUCGACGACCAUUUCCUUUUCGACAAGCCCGUGUCGCCCCUGCUGCUGGCCUCGGGCAUGGCCCGCGACUGG
This 638-nucleotide small RNA is filed under the name Pongo abelii (Sumatran orangutan). RNAcentral's name for it is "retained intron". Lineage: Eukaryota; Metazoa; Chordata; Mammalia; Primates; Hominidae. The record is from RNAcentral.